GGGUCGUUAGCUCAGUCGGUAGAGCAGCGGACUUUUAAUCCGUUGGUCGAGCGUUCGAGUCGCUCACGACCCACCA
RNAcentral lists this transfer RNA (76 nucleotides) under Neisseria gonorrhoeae. RNAcentral describes it as "tRNA-Lys". It matches the Rfam family "tRNA". Rfam says of the family: Transfer RNA (tRNA) molecules are approximately 80 nucleotides in length. Their secondary structure includes four short double-helical elements and three loops (D, anti-codon, and T loops). Further hydrogen bonds mediate the characteristic L-shaped molecular structure. tRNAs have two regions of fundamental functional importance: the anti-codon, which is responsible for specific mRNA codon recognition, and the 3' end, to which the tRNAs corresponding amino acid is attached (by aminoacyl-tRNA synthetases). tRNAs cope with the degeneracy of the genetic code in two manners: having more than one tRNA (with a specific anti-codon) for a particular amino acid; and 'wobble' base-pairing, i.e. permitting non-standard base-pairing at the 3rd anti-codon position. RNAcentral also lists the same sequence under 2 other names. Lineage: Bacteria; Pseudomonadati; Pseudomonadota; Betaproteobacteria; Neisseriales; Neisseriaceae. The record is from RNAcentral.